This 958-nucleotide ribosomal RNA is filed under the name uncultured Neocallimastigales. RNAcentral describes it as "partial large subunit ribosomal RNA". The stretch from base 169 to 958 matches the Rfam family "Eukaryotic large subunit ribosomal RNA", at positions 1 to 635 of the family's 3401-position model. Lineage: Eukaryota; Fungi; Neocallimastigomycota; Neocallimastigomycetes; Neocallimastigales. The record is from RNAcentral.
CGCAUCUGUGCAUGCAGCAUAUCAAUAAGCGAGGAAAAGACUGCGGAACUGAACGACCACUACCUACGCUUAGGAUGUUGAAGAUGUAGCACAUCAUACACGCAUGACACACUGCAUAUCAAUAAGCGGAGGAAAAGAGGGCUAUUACCUACGCUUAGGAUGUUGAAGAUGUAGCACAUCAUACACGCAUCUGUGCAUGCAGCAUAUCAAUAAGCGGAGGAAAAGAAACUAACAAGGAUCCCCUAGUAACGGCGAGUGAAGCGGGAAGAGCUCAAAUUUGAAAUCUUAAAGGGUUUCCCUUUACGAAUUGUAGUUUAAAGAAGUGUUUUCUGUUGAGGUUUUGGUAAAAGUUCUUUGGAAUAGGACAUCAUAGAGGGUGAGAAUCCCGUAUUUGACCUUUACUUUCAACUUUGUGAUACACUUUCAAAGAGUCGGAUUGUUUGGGAAUGCAGUCCAAAAUGGGUGGUAAAUUUCAUCUAAAGCUAAAUAUUGGCGAGAGACCGAUAGCGAACAAGUACCGUGAGGGAAAGAUGAAAAGAACUUUGAAAAGAGAGUUAAACAGUACGUGAAAUUGUCAAAAGGGAAGCGUUUGACACCAGUGUUGUUUUUCUGAAAAUCAAUUAAAGAACUGUUUAUGCUAAGUUGUUUAGACUUUAUCAGCUAUCUGCUUAGUUUUGAGCUUUUCUUUAAUGCACUUUUCAGUUAACAAGUCAACAUCAAUUUCUUUUGCUGUAAAAAAGCUUGAGGAAGGUGGCUUGAGAUUCGUCUUAAGUGUUUAUAGCCUCUUGCCUAUGCAGUCGGAGAGAUUGAGGUCUGCAGCGUAGAUCCUUCGGGGCUAAAUGCAUUUGUGCUAAGUUAUAGCAUUUUAUAGACAACUUGUUGACUAUGAUUUGUCUUGUAGCUUACUCGCUUAUGUUAUUUUACCUACGCUUAGGAUGUUGAAGAUGUAGCACAUCAU